Molecule: transfer RNA, 74 nt
Filed under: Bacteroidota bacterium
Lineage: Bacteria; Pseudomonadati; Bacteroidota
Description: Bacteroidetes bacterium (grounwater metagenome) tRNA-Asp
Rfam family: tRNA
About the family: Transfer RNA (tRNA) molecules are approximately 80 nucleotides in length. Their secondary structure includes four short double-helical elements and three loops (D, anti-codon, and T loops).
Source: RNAcentral
GGUCCGGUAGAUCAAUUGGUUAGAUCGCAGCCCUGUCACGGCUGAGGUUGCGGGUUCGAGCCCCGUCCGGACCG